RNAcentral lists this ribosomal RNA (253 nucleotides) under uncultured bacterium. RNAcentral describes it as "partial 16S ribosomal RNA". It matches the Rfam family "Bacterial small subunit ribosomal RNA", at positions 524 to 776 of the family's 1533-position model. The record is from RNAcentral.
UACAGAGGGUGCGAGCGUUGUCCGGAAUCACUGGGCGUAAAGGGCGCGUAGGUGGCUUGGUAAGCGUGUGGUGAAAGUCCGGGGCUCAACCCCGGAUCGGCCAUGCGAACUGCCCGGCUGGAGCACGGUAGAGGCCAAUGGAAUUCCGGGUGUAGCGGUGGAAUGCGUAGAGAUCCGGAAGAACACCGGUGGCGAAGGCGGUUGGCUGGGCCGUUGCUGACACUGAGGCGCGACAGCGUGGGGAGCAAACAGG